UAUUUCUUUUGCUUCUUCUGUUUGAUAACUUGUAAAAGCUUACGGCUUUUCUGAUGUUUGGUUACCCUUCUUCUCCCCUUUCCCCUUCCCCUUGGGUUGCAAAUCAGUUUGGUCAAGGACCUCUUCCGGUUCCUCCUUCAUCCAGAUCUCUGAGGCUCCCUUGCUCAGACCUGGUCAAAUGAUGCAAAUCCGAAAUCAUCCACUGGUACAAAAGUCUACGCGCUACAAGGAUUUCCACCAAGAGCAGAAGAGAGCAGUGAUGAUAACAUAGUGUUUUGGUGGCAAGCGAGUAGCUAUUACUGGAUCAUGGGACAAUUGGAAGACCAUGUACUGGAAUCUCUAUUAUGGUGUCUAUGUUUGAAGUUCCAUUCUUUAGCUUGAGCAGUUUUCUUUUCACAAUCUAAGUUGCAGUAACUUUUAUUUCUUCUCCUUUCAGAGAACCCUUGCACUCUUUGGGUAAAGAUUUCAUUAUCAUGAAGAUGCUCCCAUUUGGUGUUUACCACUACCAAUUCAUUGUAGAUGAGCUGAGGAGAUAUGUUCCAAACUUACCAUGCGAAUUUGAUGAGUCUGGGAAUGCUUAUAACAUUUUGGAUUUGCAGGAAACCAGCAGCAAACCAGCAUGCAGACCAACAUCCUAGCUGAACCAGAUAAGCAGCAGCAUUUUGUUUAUUUUGUUCAUUUGUAACUUGAUUUAGUUGCAAUGUAAUUUAUACUUAAAUUUAGUAGGAGUAGUUGUUAAUUUAUGUUUGAUGUUAUAGCUGGUAUGUCAGCCACAUUUUGUUUGUAAUUCUAUCUAGGCUUUGGGAGCAGUUAUACAUUAGUUAACUGCCAUAUUUCAUUGUAACAUAAA
Molecule: long non-coding RNA, 850 nt
Organism: Gossypium raimondii (Peruvian cotton)
Lineage: Eukaryota; Viridiplantae; Streptophyta; Magnoliopsida; Malvales; Malvaceae
Exons: 3
Source: RefSeq, a predicted model, not a curated record